This 254-nucleotide ribosomal RNA is filed under the name uncultured bacterium. Its description in RNAcentral is "partial 16S ribosomal RNA". It matches the Rfam family "Bacterial small subunit ribosomal RNA", at positions 524 to 776 of the family's 1533-position model. The record is from RNAcentral.
CACGUAGGGGGCGAGCGUUGUCCGGAUUUAUUGGGCGUAAAGAGCUCGUAGGCGGCUCGGUAAGUGAGGUGUGAAAACUCCAGGCUCAACCUGGAGACGCCACCUCAUACUGCCGUGGCUAGAGUCCGGUAGGGGAGCAUGGAAUUCCUGGUGUAGCGGUGAAAUGCGCAGAUAUCAGGAGGAACACCAGUGGCGAAGGCGGUUACCUGGAGCUUUGCUGACGCUGAUGCGCGAAAGCGUGGGGAGCGAUCCGG